CGGAGGGAGCUAGCGUUGUUCGGAAUUACUGGGCGUAAAAGCGCGCGUAGGCGGUUUUUCAAGUCAGAGGUGAAGGCCCGGGGCUCAACCCCGGAACUGCCUUUGAAACUGGAUGACUAGAAUCUUGGAGAGGCGAGUGGAAUUCCGAGUGUAGAGGUGAAAUUCGUAGAUAUUCGGAAGAACACCCCGUGGCGAAGGCGACUCGCUGGACAAGUAUUGACGCUGAGGUGCGAAAGCGUGGGGGAGCAAACAGGAUU
RNAcentral lists this ribosomal RNA (257 nucleotides) under uncultured bacterium. Its description in RNAcentral is "partial 16S ribosomal RNA". It matches the Rfam family "Bacterial small subunit ribosomal RNA", at positions 526 to 779 of the family's 1533-position model. The record is from RNAcentral.